Molecule: transfer RNA, 73 nt
Filed under: Actinomadura sp. RB99
Lineage: Bacteria; Bacillati; Actinomycetota; Actinomycetes; Streptosporangiales; Thermomonosporaceae
Description: tRNA-Thr
Source: RNAcentral
GGGCUGGUGGACGGGCGGUUCGCCGCGCUGGUGGCGCGGCUGCCCGCGCCGGGGCCCGUCCGCUCCGGGCCGC